GUGCUUAAUCCGGCAGCCCAUACACUAACAUCGGAAUGAUACAGAAAAGAUUAGCAUGGCCCAUACACAUUGAUAACUUGCAAAUUCGUGAAGCAAUCCAUAUUUUU
Molecule: small nuclear RNA, 107 nt
Organism: Dipodomys ordii (Ord's kangaroo rat)
Lineage: Eukaryota; Metazoa; Chordata; Mammalia; Rodentia; Heteromyidae
Source: Ensembl